Molecule: non-coding RNA, 80 nt
Filed under: Clostridium sp. BNL1100
Lineage: Bacteria; Bacillati; Bacillota; Clostridia; Eubacteriales; Clostridiaceae
Description: pemK RNA
Rfam family: pemK RNA
Source: RNAcentral
AUAAUGCUACUUCCGUCCAGCCACAGACAUCGCAAUGGGGACGGCUCGCAGAGAACCUGGGAGAGGUGAAAUUCCUAUGA